Molecule: ribosomal RNA, 434 nt
Filed under: uncultured bacterium
Lineage: Bacteria
Description: bacterial SSU rRNA
Rfam family: Bacterial small subunit ribosomal RNA
Source: RNAcentral
AACGAACGCUGGCGGCAUGCCUAACACAUGCAAGUCGAACGAGACCUUCGGGUCUAGUGGCGCACGGGUGCGUAACGCGUGGGAAUCUACCCUUGGGUUCGGAAUAACUCAGAGAAAUUUGAGCUAAUACCGGAUGAUGUCGAAAGACCAAAGAUUUAUCGCCCAAGGAUGAGCCCGCGUAGGAUUAGCUAGUUGGUGAGGUAAAGGCUCACCAAGGCAACGAUCCUUAGCUGGUCUGAGAGGAUGAUCAGCCACACUGGGACUGAGACACGGCCCAGACUCCUACGGGAGGCAGCAGUGGGGAAUAUUGGACAAUGGGCGAAAGCCUGAUCCAGCAAUGCCGCGUGAGUGAUGAAGGCCUUAGGGUUGUAAAGCUCUUUUACCCGGGAUGAUAAUGACAGUACCGGGAGAAUAAGACCCCGGCUAACUCCGUG